Molecule: ribosomal RNA, 254 nt
Filed under: uncultured bacterium
Lineage: Bacteria
Description: partial 16S ribosomal RNA
Rfam family: Bacterial small subunit ribosomal RNA
Source: RNAcentral
CACGUAGGGUGCGAGCGUUGUCCGGAAUUAUUGGGCGUAAAGAGCUCGUAGGCGGUGUGUCGCGUCGGCCGUGAAAACCUGCAGCUUAACUGUGGGCUUGCGGUCGAUACGGGCAUCACUGGAGUUCGGCAGGGGAGACUGGAAUUCCUGGUGUAGCGGUGAAAUGCGCAGAUAUCAGGAGGAACACCAAUAGCGAAGGCAGCGCGCUGGGACGUUACUGACACUGAGGCGCGAAAGCGUGGGGAGCGAACAGG